RNAcentral lists this long non-coding RNA (1284 nucleotides) under Sinocyclocheilus grahami. RNAcentral's name for it is "lncRNA (ENSSGRG00000007276.1)". Lineage: Eukaryota; Metazoa; Chordata; Actinopteri; Cypriniformes; Cyprinidae. The record is from RNAcentral.
GCUGUUUUUCAUUGGUUGUUGCGUUUUUAACCACCCUGUGGUGCAGCUCUCAUCAAUGCCUAUUGAUUCAAACGGCUUUUUUUGUCAUUGCUGCCUAGGGAGGAAGAGGCAGGGUGUCACAGGGAGAGAGAAACAGAGGAAAGGGACUGCUCUUUUGCACAGGACAGGGUUGAAGGCUACUGCUACUUUGGAUUCUCAUGCUUCUCUCUCAACAGGACUAACGGAUGGUGUAUGGAAGCACACGAAUCUCCCAGAAUGACGAGUGCUGCUCCUGCCCGGAAACCGUACCGAAAGGCACCUCCGCAGCACCGCGAGGCGCGCCACACUGUGCCAGUAUUUCGAGAGGAUGUUAGCGGGAGUGCCUUGCCAUCCGCCAACCUUGCGCCAUCAGCCCAGCCUGACCCCUGCCAGGUAAUUUUUCCCCGAAAUCAUGCACCUAUUUUGCAGCGUACCCGGUUUACAGGCCCUUACCCACAGUGCCCUGAGAGACCCGUGUGGUCGCAAGGGUCUGACAGCGAGCUCGAUGUCUCAAGCCUGUCUAGCUUGGAGCUCAGUGUCCUCCCCCCACCACGGAUCUUCAGCCACGGUUCUUUUGGCGUGAGACUUCCUCCCAAGCAUCACCGACAUCAAAAAAUGAACUGCUUUAUAAGUCGUAGCGAUGAUCUACUUGCGCUCUCUGCUGACGACGAUCUCGCUUCCUCGGAAAGCUCCCAACAGUGCAUCCCAGGCAGUUCCCCGUCACACUCCACUAGGAGUGUGGAGCGCUUCUUGGUCUUCAAAGAGAAAGCAGAGAUACUUGCACCCAAAGAAGAGCAGCGUCCACCCCAUGCAGCGCCUCUGCUGCAUGCCCAUCCACCCAAGGGCAUCCUCAAGCAGUCUCAUCAUUUGGGAGUCUACUCUUCCGACAGUCUGCGCAAGUCUAAGUCGGCAGAGAUGCUAGCCCAGGCGAGAAGGCGUGGACGCAGCAGGAAGCCCAAAAGUAUGUCCUUGGAUAGGGAGAAGGGCGUACGAGCCUCUCCCACGGGACGUGCUACUUCCACAUCGUCUACAUCUCCCAGCUCUAUGCCACCGGAAUGGAAGAUGCAGCUUCUUGAGGAAAAGAUACAAUUUUCCCAAUUUCUGGACGAAAUCACCUACCGGGUCCUGAGCCCGGCUAGUCUAAAGAUGCUGCGAGGGAACCUUCCAGAGCCAGCAGUGUCUUCAAAAGGGAGCCAAAUCAAGCAGCACAAUAAUCCCCAACAAUAUGAAUCCAAGGACCGUCAUGGNNNNNNNNNNNNNNNNNNN